RNAcentral lists this long non-coding RNA (2060 nucleotides) under Lathyrus oleraceus (garden pea). Its description in RNAcentral is "Pisum sativum (pea) long non-coding RNA (PSAT_LNC041113)". Lineage: Eukaryota; Viridiplantae; Streptophyta; Magnoliopsida; Fabales; Fabaceae. The record is from RNAcentral.
AAAGGAAACCAACUCAAUCAUUUUUCCAGUGUUACAUUAGCACCACCUUUAUUAUUGUGAGAUCCUCAUAAUCCUAACAAACAUCUCAAUCUCAUCAAAACAAUACGAAAAACCCUAUCAUAAUCAUUGGUGACGCAAGAAUAAAAUUGAAAAUAAGAGGAAACACAGAUGAAUAGAGCGACAAAAUAAACAUGUUAGAGAUGUGUAACCUUCAAAAUAUCAGCCUAUAUCAGAAAUCACUUGAUUUAUACAUUUGAUAGAUAAUAAAGAAAAUUACUCAUAAAAGAUAGAAAAAAAAGGAAAAUAUGACAAUUUUUACGUAGUACGUAUUUCUUUAGCCUUUGUAUUUUGUUUAUACAAUUAUAAAGUGAUUAUGAACCAGAGAUUUCUAUUAAAUAAUGUAAGCUAAAUAUUUCAAUUAAGUACAUCCUCAAUUAUUUAAAUCAAUCAAACAUGUAAUGAUUAACAAACCUUGACAAAAAUCGUUUAGAAAGAUAUGUAUUGAACAUCAAAAUAAAUUAAAUAUAUACUUAUAUCCUAAAGAACACAAAAUGUCAUCUUCUAUAUUCUUAUAAUUAAACAAUUAACAUAAGUUAUACAUAUUAAAAAUAUGCUAAAAUACUAAAUAUAAGUAUAAAAUUAAAGAGAGAAAAAGAAAAUAGAAUAAUUACAUGAAAAUGAAAAACGAAAAAGAAAAUAUAAUAAUUACAAGAAAAUGAAAAUGAGACCGUAUGGUAUAAAGGAAACCAACUCAAUCAUUUUUCCAGUGUUACAUUAGCAUCACCUUUAUUAUUGUGAGAUCCUCAUAAUCCUAACAAACAUCUCAAUCUCAUCAAAACAAUACGAAAAACCCUAUCAUAAUCAUUGGUGAUGCAAGAAUAAAAUUGAAAAUAAGAGGAAACACAGAUGAAUAGAGUGACAAAAUAAACAAGUUAGAGAUGUGUAACCUUCAAAAGAUCAACCUAUAUCAGAAAUCACUUGAUCUGUACAUUUGAUAGAUAAGAAAGAAAAUUACUCAUAAAAGAUAGAAAAAAAAGGAAAAUAUGACAAUUUUUCAGCAGUACGUAUUUUUUUACCCUUUGUAUUUUGUUUAUACAAUCAUAAAGUGAUUAUGAACCAGAGAUUUCUAUUAAAUAAUGCAAGCUAAAUAUUUAUAUUAAGUACAUCCUCAAUUAUAUAAAUCAAUCAAACAUGUAAUGAGUAACAAACCUUGACAUUAAUUAGUUUAGAAAGAUAUGUAUUGAACAUCAAAAUUAAUUAAAUAUAUACUUAUAUCCUAAAGAACAUAAAAUGUCAUCUUCUAUAUUCUGAUAAUUAAACAAUUAACAUAAGUUAUAUAGAUUAAAAAAUAUGCUAAAAUACUAAUUAUAAGUAGAAAAUGAAAAAGAAAAAAAGAAAAAAGAAUAAUUACAAGAAAAUGAAAAAGAAAAAAAGAAAAUAGAAUAAUUACAAGACAAUGAAAAUGAGACCGUAUGUAUUAAAGGAAACCAACCCAAUCAUUUUUCUAGUGUUACAUUAGCACCAACUUUAUUAUUGUGAGAUCCUCAUAAUCCUAACAAACAUCUCAAUCUCAUCAAAACAAUACGAAAAACCCUAUCAUAAUCAUUGGUGAUGCAAGAAUAAAAUUGAAAAUAAGAGGAAACACAGAUGAAUAGAGUGACAAAAUAAACAAGUUAGAGAUGUGUAACCUUCAAAAGAUCAACCUAUAUCAGAAAUCACUUGAUCUGUACAUUUGAUAGAUAAGAAAGAAAAUUACUCAUAAAAGAUAGAAAAAAAAGGAAAAUAUGACAAUUUUUCAGCAGUACGUAUUUUUUUAACCUUUGUAUUUUGUUUAUACAAUCAAAAAGUGAUUAUGAACCAGAAAUUUCUAUUAAAUAUUGUAAGCUAAAUAUUUAUAUUAAGUACAUCCUCAAUUAUAUAAAUCAAUCAAACAUGUAAUGAGUAACAAACCUUGACAUUAAUUAGUUUAGAAAGAUAUGUAUUGAACAUCAAAAUUAAUUAAAUAUAUACUUAUAUCCUAAAGAACAUAAAAUGUCAUCUUCUAUAUUCUGAUAAUUAAA